CUUUUUGACGACGAUUAAUGUACCCUAGCCCCUUUUUAUACAAAAAUGGGUGUUACCAAAACUCAAAAUAGCAACAAAGGUUGGAGUAAACCAAGAAACAACUUAAAAUAGAACAUCUUCCAAAUUACUAUAUUUAUCCUUAGGAGAAAGAAAGCAACAAUAUGUUCCAUAGAGUAGGUACAUUAAUCAGGCAUUUCACUACACAUAUAGUAUGCAAAGCCAAUUUUAUCCUAUUUGAUUUCUCUAGCAAAUGAUAACACAAAUGAGGAAAAAUAUAACUUUAAACAGAACAUUGACACUAUGUUGAAUACAAGCAGAUGUAAAGCUCCCAACCUAAUAGACGUUAAAGUAAAUCGUAAAGAGGAAGGAACAACACAACUACUAUAAACCUAUUUCGAAGGAAAAGAAAAAUUAGCACACCACUGAAUUUUACUUCUAUACAAAAAAUAAACACUAAAUUAGAAUGAACAGCUCCAUAAAACAGUCUUAAACAUACACCGAUUGACGCGUUCAACCAUGAAUCACAAACAUCAAGCAACCGACGAAAUGAACGAAACUAUUGCAAAUUUUGUUACACACAAGUCCUAUGGCAUGUAAGCCUUCCUACAACAAAUAAUUCCCAGCACUUCUAUCAUUACUAACGACAAAGAUAUAAGGCUAAUACGCUAAAAAAAUUAAUGAGAAGAAGAAAAAAUACUGAAAGCAAAAGAGCCAAAAUACCUGUUUCAGGGCAACAAAACAGGACUUUAGGCUUCUGCCGGAGUAACAACCACCACCAAAAAAUAUUGUCGUCAACUCGAGAACUUCGAUUAGCCAGCGAAUUUCAUGAAAAAGGAAAAUUUUUACUAAAAUUUUUACUCUUUUUGAUCAAAGCUUUUUCCAAACCGUGAGACUUGUCCUCAAUUUGCUCCACAAUGAGCUAUUUAUAGAAAAUAAAAUGGAAGAAAUUUUUAGCUUUCACCGAUGUGGGACAAAGGAUUUUCAAGGGUAAUUUGGUGAAUUUUAAUGGGGUAAAUUUGAAUUUGGCAUGUGGAUAAGGUUUUGUACCUCAUUCUAGUACUGAUUUUUGGAACUUUCUGAAGAAAAUUUAAUGGGUUUAAUCAAUGGAAAUUGGGAAAAAGGAAUAAUCCCCAAGAACCAAUAGAAUUAGCAUAAAUGUGUACGAAUUCAUACCAAUUUCCCCCCAAAUUCAUGGAUUUGAAUGUUAGACGAGCCAGCUAAGUAAUUUGUAGAAGAUUCUCGGCAUCUUCCUUAUACAGAUCCGCGUGGGAGGGCACGUGAUGCAUACGAGAAACGAGUUGAGGUCAGGUCGAUUGUGGGUCGAGGUGUGGCUGAAGUUGUUGGAGUUGUUAUCAUCCAUAUUGAAGGUGUUUGCUGAUAGAAUUGUUGUUUAUUGAAAUUGAAGAAGAAAAACAAUGGGCUGGGUCUUGGGAUUUUGGGCUGCUGGUUCAGUUGAUUGGAGUGAUUGGGCUAGAGUAUUAUUGGGCCUGGGGCAGGUCAGCCAUGACAUGGGCUGUUUGUUGUUAUUGUUUUGCGGGCAAAAUUCAGAAAUAAUAUACUUAACUCUUUAAUUAUGAGAUUCAUAGCAACACUUUCAUAAUUGCAUAUUAUAGCAACUUUUGAUAUGUAUUUUUGUAAAGUGUUGCUAUAAAAAUACAAAUACAAUUGUUUUUACUGCAUUAAUUGUCUGAUCUAAAUAUGGUAAUAAUUCCAUAAAUUAACAAUUAAAGAUUACAAUCCCAUUAAAAGCUCACUAAUCACCCUUUUUUCGUUACCUUCAAACAACCCUAUUCAAAUGCAAAAAAAAUAAAAAAUUGUAUUAUCCACUCGCUAUAUGCGUGAUUCUUCUUCUUAAAAAAAAAAAAAAUUCAAUUCAAUUUUCCAGUCGCUAAACGCAUGAUCCUUCAAAAAAAAAAUCAAUUCAAAUUCGUUGUAAUUGAACAAUCAAAUUCAAUUGUACUUGUUGAUGUUCAAAAAAAAAUUUGUAAAGUUCAACUAUUAACAUUACCUUGUUCUCGAUAACACUUUGGAAUUCAAUUAUCUUCUACGAAUUAGUGCUUAAGUGUUGUUUUAGGUAUUACCGUAUUUUUUUUAGUAUAUUUUGUUUUUACCGAUUGUUUUUUUCAAUUACUCAAUUUGUGAUGCAUCGUAGAUUUAUUUACUGAUGCUCCUAUCUAGUUUUUUGUUGUCACCGUUAAAUUUUGUAUGAAUAAUUUCUAAACGAAUUUCGAGUUAUAAGCAAUGAAGGAGUAAAUUCAACAUAUAUAACAAAAACCUUCAGAAUUCAACUAUUUGUUGCCAAAUUUCAGUUUAGAAAUUGUUUCAGGUAUUGAAAUUUCACUGUUUGAUUAUUUAUUUGAUGAUCGUUUGUUGUUAUUUUGAUCGGUUUAACAAUUGAACAAAUUGUGAAGCUUUGUAGAAUUUCGAUUAUGAACAUAAUUUAAACAAAUUUUGAUUUGAAUUUUAUUCAAUUAUUUUCUGAAAUCCUAGAUCAAUGAAUGAUCGAAUUCAGCUGUUGAAUGUGAUGAAAUUCUAUUGACACAUCAAAAUACAAAUUAAGUAUGCUCCCAGAUGUACUUUUUUGUGUUUAAUGUUAAAAUUACAUAUGUAUUUUUGCUAUGCUUAGUGUUAACACUACAUAUGUAUUUUUGGUUUGUUUGUCGGAAUUUCAGAAUAUAACUGUACAUGUGAAAAUAUAUGUUAUACGUGUUUUACUUCUAUUCGAUUUAGUAGUUUCUGUAUUUGGUUGAAAACUUUUGUUGUGUUUAUAUUUUACUUUAAACAAAUUUAUUUUAAUGUAUUUUUUGAACAAAUUGUGAAGCUUUGUAGAAUUUCAAUUAUGAACAUAAUUUAAACAAAUUUCUAUUUGAAUUUUAUUCAAUUAUUUUCUAAAAUCCUAGAUCAAUGAAUGAUCAAAUUCAGUUGUUGAAUGUGAUGAAAUUCUAUUGACCCAUAUCAAAAUACAAAUUAGGUAUGCUCCCAGAUGAAUGAGACGUCUAUAACAAUUAUACUGCCACCAAAGUACAAACGCCCUCCUGGAAGACUUCCUGCAAAGAAGGAUCGUGAAAAAUCGGGUCGAGAUAUGUUUGAAAAGAACAACAUCAACUCAUGCAUUGGAUGUGGGGCUAAGGGUCACAACAGACAUAUGUGGGGCUAAGGGUCACAACAGACAUUCUUGUAGAAAAUAUCAUAAAUGAUACAUUUUUUUUUCUGUAUUAUUUUUUAAUACUUUCUUCUGCACUUUUUAUAAUAAUGAACUCAUUUUUAUGGUUCUAAACAUUUAUUUAGCAUUUGCGAUCUAAGCACUGUUUAAUAUGAAUGUUGCAUUUGUAUAUAAUGCAAAAUCUGAACACUGCUUAUGUAUUUUGAAUCUACAUAGCAUAUGUAUUUUGAACACUGUAUCUGUAUUUUUAGUACAAAUUUAGUAACUUUGGUUAACCUCAUAUGAAUGUUAGCUUUAGAAUGAAGAAAAAUUAAAAUAAAUAUGAUGUAUAUUGCAUACGUAUUUUUAAUGCAGUUUCAUAUGAUUGUAAUAAAAUUUUAAAAUAAAUUAAUUUCAUGCAUUUUUCUAAAUUAGUUAGUUUGAAUCACCUCAUAAUUAUUUUGUAACUAUUGAACAAAGGAUAAAUACAUAUGAUAUAUUCUGCAUAUGUAUUUAUUUAAUGUCAAAUCUGAACACUGUAUAUGUAUUUUUGAUCUCUAAAUCUCACAACAAAAAAAAUAAAACUGCAUAAAAUACUUAAAUGAAUUUCUUUCAUUCAAUUCACAAACUUAAAGUUGAAUUCAUCUCAUAUGUAUUUUGAAAGUAAAUGAACACAAAUUAGAAUAUAUAUGAAGGUAAGUGCAUAUGUAUUUGUAUUGAAAAUUUCAAGACUACAUAUGUAUUUCAGAGGUCAAUCACACUGCAAUCAAUAUUAUUAAACACUGGAGUAAAACACAUAGUACAAAAUUGUUGAAAACAUAUUCAACUUAUACAACAGAAAUUAAUUACUUUCAUUCACUUCAAAAUAAGUAACAUUUAAACACUUCAAAACAUGAAAUAAGUUUGUACCAAAAAAAACAACAUCCAUACACCAGUUUGUCGACUAUCCAAUGUAAUAAAUUCAACAAUCAUCAUAUUUCUAAAACUUCAGUGACACUAGUUAUUCGGUUUUGCCUGCCAGGCCUUAAGGGUGCUUCGACAUCGCUAUGAGCAUUUGCUUCAUGUUUUCCCAUGCCAUAUAUAGUCCCACAAUAGUGCAGCAAUAUGUACGAAGUGUGUUGGGUUUGAACUCAAUCAAAGGAACUCUUUUACCAUAAGAAAGACACUCUGCGUAUGUUACCAUAUACAGACCACAGUCCCUACAAAAAAAAAAUUGAAUAAUAAAAUUUAAUUUCUACAAACGAUAUCGGUAAAUGUAUAUUAAAGUACUUACAAGCUUUCACUUAAUUGUUGGACCAAUUCUUCUGCAAAUAACACAUCAAAAAGAUCUGACAAGUUUUUAUCUUUGUAUAUUAGAUAGUUAUGAAGAUCAAUACCUUUCUUUUCGUAGAAAUUACAAGCUUUAAGGGUGCUUCGACAUCGCUAUGAGCAUUUGCUUCAUGUUUUCCCAUGCCAUAUAUAGUCCCACAAUAGUGCAGCAAUAUGUACGAAGUGUGUUGGGUUUGAACUCAAUCAAAGGAACUCUUUUACCAUAAGAAAGACACUCUGCGUAUGUUACCAUAUACAGACCACAGUCCCUACAAAAAAAAAAUUGAAUAAUAAAAUUUAAUUUCUACAAACGAUAUCGGUAAAUGUAUAUUAAAGUACUUACAAGCUUUCACUUAAUUGUUGGACCAAUUCUUCUGCAAAUAACACAUCAAAAAGAUCUGACAAGUUUUUAUCUUUGUAUAUUAGAUAGUUAUGAAGAUCAAUACCUUUCUUUUCGUAGAAAUUACAAGCUUGGGACACAAUGGGGUAAUCUCAGCUAAUUUUUGUAUCUCAGCCAGAACAACUGCAUAGUGACCAGAGAAUUCAUAUAAAUUAUAUAAGAAUAUGCAUCUCUCGGAGAAUGAUAAAAUUGCGAGAACCCAAUGAUGUUUCUCAAAUUUAACAAAAAAAAAAUCUUGUAAAACUUUAAAAAAAUAACAAAACACAUUAAAACUACACCUUAAACCGUAUAAAUCAACAAAAUACAACCAGCAUAUCAAAAAAUACCUAUAACAUGCAUAUGUAUUUUUAACAGAACAAAUCACCUCACUGCAAUUCCUAAAUACAUAUCAGGAGAAACAUAAAAUAAAUAUUAACUCACUGAAAAAAUACAUAUUACCCCAAUUGAUAAAACUCUACAGAAAUCCCUAAAUAUAUAACAGUAAAUAAAAUACAUAUACAACGAAAAAAUACCUCUUCCUCCAUGUCUUCUUCAGAUUCAUUAGCACAAAGAGUUCUCAACAUCGUCAUCAACAUUGUUUGACUUUUUAAUUUCUUUUGUUUUUCUUUUCUUCUCAUAUUUGUUUUUAAUUUGUUCAUCUUUUGGAGAAAAAACUUUUUUCAACCACUUUUUUCUUCAAAAUAUCAGCUAUCUUCGAAAAAUUCAACCAACAACAACAACAAAUCAACCCAAAAUCAUCUACAAUAUUCAUUCAACUCCGAUUAGCCUCCAUUUAUCGCAACAAAACAAAACUUAGUUCCAAUUCUCAUCCAAAAUUUAAUUUUUUCAACUAUAUCAACUCAUAAAACAUCAAAUUUAACUGAAAAACAAACAAAAUAAAAUUCAGCAAAUUUGAUGACCUUGAUUCUCCAUUAACAACUACAAAAAUCAAAACCUUAAAGAUGAAAUGGAGAAAUUAUUUACAGUACAAAAUAAAAAAAAAUAUGUAUUGAGAAAUUGAUAACAUGCAAUAACUGAAUUAAUUAUUUACCUGAAAUUGUGGAACAAUAAUCGUGGAAAAGACAUUAAGAAGGAAAAAUUUUGAAAGAGAAAAUCUGAUAAGAAGCAUGAAAAAUGGUAAAGUAUAAAGCAAUUAAAGGAAAGAGAAGGUUUUAAGCGUAAAUAAUGGAGCCUGCUUUUAAGAUGCGGUAAUUGUGGUCCCCCACUUAAAAUAAUGCUACAAAUGCUACGCAACGUAAUUAGGAAAAAGUGUUGCUAUUUUUUAUAAUUUAGUACUUAGGUAUGCUAACAUAUGUAUUUUUCCCUUGUUUUGUUGGUCUACUUUUGUGGUCCAAUUUAAAAUAGGAAAAAUUACAGAAACUAGCAUACUUAAGACCUUAAUUACAAUAAAUAGCAACACUUUCUCAAAAUUAUAAGUUAUAGUAAAAGUAAUAAUAUUUUAAUCAUUAUAUUAAAAAGGGUGUGGGUUUCACCCACUUUUUUACCUUUCCCUAUUUUCACUCCGCUUUUUUCAAUUCCCUCCCAUAUUUCACUCUACUUUUUUCAAUUCUCUCCUAUAUUUCACUCCACUUUUUUCAAUUUCCUCUCAUAUUUCACUCCACUUUUUUAAUUCAUUUUUUUUUCAAAAUUGUGCUCCAUCAAAUAAGGUAAGUUGAUAUUUAGAGUAUUUGCAUGUUAUCUUUUCAUAUAAUUUAUAUUUUUUUCUUCAUCUGUUUUCUUCAUUUUUUUUUGGAGAGGGAGGGGGGGAGUAUUUUUUUUAAUUGAAAGAUUGUGAAGCCAGAUUGUAUAUGUAUUUAUGACUAAUGCAUAUAUAUUUUUCCAGAUAUGCAUAUGUAUUUUUGAAUAAUACAUAUGUAUUUUCUAGUUAUUCGCACGUUUUUAUGGGGAUGCAUUCUAUAUUUAUUGAUUUGAUGAUACAAUAUCAACAACGGAUACACAAACAAACACCAAAACAGUCCACAAGUUGGAAGAACCGAGGACCCCUUUGGUGACCACUCUCAGAUUCACAACAACAAUAAUGAAAACACAAUAACAAGAAGAUAUUAAGGUGUUCGACACCUCUAAAAUCAGCGAGCCAACAAACUAGAUUAACAACACAAACACAAGAACAAGAAGAACACAAAGUCUCAAUUUUGGGACACCAAACCCGAGAAUGUACAACAACAAAAAUGAAAUAGAUAGAUAGUUAACUUGACAUACAAAUGUACAAACACUAUGAACCUAAGUGUAUAUUAAACACAAAGACCCAAGAAUUCAUACAAGCAACACCAAGCUCUACAGUGAUCUCAAGGGAACGGGAUUCCCAAGCAACCAACGUUUCAAAACUAGCACUAACACAAGUGAUAUCCACACUUGUUUACAAGGAAUCCACCUUGCAAGACUCUCUCUAUUGAGCUCUCAAAAUAUCAUCAAAGUUGUGAGAAAAUAACCUAACAUGUUCUAUUUAUAGCCUAGGUUACAACUUAAUACAAAAUGACUAGAAUACCCUUAGUGAGCCAUGGCUAAGGGGUGGUCUUGGAGUGUACAUUUGGGGUGGAUUUGGAGUGUUGGGGACUUGUCCUCUACACUUUAAAUCUUGUUCCAUUGGUCGGUCAGCCCACGAGCUCGAGUCUCAAUACUUUGGUCUACAAUCACGAUCGUACUUGUAUCAUCCUCCCCUUCUUGAAGAGGAUUCGACCUCGAAUCCGAACCUUGCAAAACAAUAGAGGAGAUAAAAGAACACAUAUUUCUCAUGACAUGAGGGUUAAUGUUAGCACAAUCAACAAAAGUAUCAAACCACGAGUGCACAUUCUACACAUGCCGUGGGACUCUAAGGAGAAUAGAAUACCCUACCACUCACCAAAAGAAAUAACUUGUCUAUCCAUCUAAGUGUGACAAGAAACAAAACAAAAGAGAUAAAAUGCAAACCUUUAGAGCAACCUCGGGUUCUUUAAUACCAAAAGGUUAGAGUGGGAUCAAGACCUCACCUUCUUCGGGCCAAGCAUCAUCAUGAGGUAUCCUUCUUAUUAAUCCGCAAGAUACAUUAACUUUCCCUUCAUCCAAUACCCUCUUGGCUUCAUCAUCAUCUCCAUCAUCCUUUUGAGGAGUUCUCUCACUAACAUCAAUUUUAGUCACUUUGUCCCCAACAAAGUAAGGAUCACCCUCCACCAAUACAAUGUUUCUUCAGUUUGGGCACUCACUAGCUUUGUGAACCCAACCUUGACAUUUAAAACAAAUGAUAAACUUAGGAUUAGGAGUGGAAGAACUAGUACCUUCAAGCCAUGGGGUCCUUUUGAGUGCUUUAUCAAAUGGUUUCUUCUCUAAGGGCUUGUAGAGCUUGUUCCACCCGAAGUUCUUCUUGUCAAGAUUGUGCCUUUAAACUUCAAUAGCCUAUGCUACAAGUUUCUCAAGUCGGUCAAAUUUAUGGACAACUAGUUGAGAAACAACUUCAUAGAACAAGCCACCCUUGAACCGAGCUAGGCAAUGAUUUGGAGGUUCAACAAUAUUAAGAUGUAGGAUUAAGUUUUGAAGCUCAUCAUAAUACUCCUCCACACUUCUAUCUCCUUUCCUAAAGUUGUAGAGCUUUGUUAGGUGCUCUUGUUUGUACCUUUCUGUGAGAUAUCUCUCCCUCAUAAGGGCUUUCAAUUCAUCCCAAUUUGAAAGGUCAAGAUUGUCAUUCCUUGCCCGUUGCAACCGCUUUGUCUCCCACCAAGUAGAUGCAUAACCUUCAAAUUGAGCAAUGGUAUGUGUGACUUUCUUUUGGAAAAUUAACUCAUUGAUUUAGAAAAUCCGAUUACAUUGUAACUCCCAAUCAAGAUAGAGAGAUGGAUCACUAGUCUUUUUGAAAGAAGGAAGAGUG
RNAcentral lists this long non-coding RNA (8688 nucleotides) under Capsicum annuum. Its description in RNAcentral is "long non-coding RNA (CANN_LNC019772)". The record is from RNAcentral. Lineage: Eukaryota; Viridiplantae; Streptophyta; Magnoliopsida; Solanales; Solanaceae.